AAACACAAUCAAACAGAACACCAAGAUAUACGUGGAAAAUUCCUUCAAUGUGAAGGGUAAAAACCACGGGGCAAACUAGAGAUAAUCCACUAUGAGAAUAAUGAAUAUACAAAUCUCAAUCUCUUGCCCAAAACCCUAACAACAACCACAAGAGAAUAACUGGGAUACAAGGAUCACGUCACUGCCCACAAUAUCUAAAACCUC
RNAcentral lists this long non-coding RNA (204 nucleotides) under Musa acuminata (dwarf banana). Its description in RNAcentral is "long non-coding RNA (MACU_LNC005286)". Lineage: Eukaryota; Viridiplantae; Streptophyta; Magnoliopsida; Zingiberales; Musaceae. The record is from RNAcentral.